UGGGGAAUCUUCCGCAAUGGACGAAAGUCUGACGGAGCAACGCCGCGUGAGUGAUGACGGCCUUCGGGUCGUAAAGCUCUGUUAAUCGGGACGAAAGGCCUUCUUGCGAAUAGUUAGAAGGAUUGACGGUACCGGAAUAGAAAGCCACGGCUAACUACGUGCCAGCAGCCGCGGUAAUACGUAGGUGGCAAGCGUUGUCCGGAAUUAUUGGGCGUAAAGCGCGCGCAGGCGGAUUGGUCAGUCUGUCUUAAAAGUUCGGGGCUUAACCCCGUGAUGGGAUGGAAACUGCCAAUCUAGAGUAUCGGAGAGGAAAGUGGAAUUCCUAGUGUAGCGGUGAAAUGCGUAGAUAUUAGGAAGAACACCAGUGGCGAAGGCGACUUUCUGGACGAAAACUGACGCUGAGGCGCGAAAGCCAGGGGAGCGAACGGGAUUAGAUACCCCGGUAGUCCUGGCCGUAAACGAUGGGUACUAGGUGUAGGAGGUAUCGACCCCUUCUGUGCCGGAGUUAACGCAAUAAGUACCCCGCCUGGGGAGUACGACCGCAAGGUUG
RNAcentral lists this ribosomal RNA (550 nucleotides) under uncultured bacterium. Its description in RNAcentral is "bacterial SSU rRNA". It matches the Rfam family "Bacterial small subunit ribosomal RNA", at positions 355 to 896 of the family's 1533-position model. The record is from RNAcentral.